This 468-nucleotide ribosomal RNA is filed under the name uncultured bacterium. RNAcentral's name for it is "partial 16S ribosomal RNA". It matches the Rfam family "Bacterial small subunit ribosomal RNA", at positions 28 to 507 of the family's 1533-position model. The record is from RNAcentral.
GACGAACGCUGGCGGCGUGCUUAACACAUGCAAGUCGAACGGAAAGGCCCUGCUUUUGUGGGGGGCUCGAGUGGCGAACGGGUGAGUAACACGUGAGUAACCGGCCCUUGACUGUGGGAUAACUUCAGGAAACUGGGGCUAAUACCGGAUAGGAGCUCCUGCUGCAGGGGGGGGGUUGGAAAGUGUCGGCGGUGGGGGAGGGACUCGCGGCUUAUCAGCUUGUGGGUGGGGGAGUGGCUGACCAGGGCUUUGGCGGGUAGCCGGCGGGGGCGGGUGACCGGCCACCUUGGGACUGCUGUGCCGCCCCGCCUCCUCCGGGAGGAAGCAGUGGGGAAGAUUGCUCCACGGGGGGAGGCCGGCUGAAGCAGCGCCGCGGGCGGGAUGUAGGCGUCCGGGUUGUAAUCAGCUUCUGCCUGUGACGAAGAGUGAGUGACGGUAAUUGGUAAAGAAGCACCGGCUAACUACGUG